AAAAGAGAAGGAGAAGUUUACUUGUGAGAAGGAGAGUGUUAGCUUUGCUUUGGUGUUUAAGGCGAGAGAAGCAGAUUCGUCACGUGUUGGUAGAAUAGAGUUCCGACGUAUCAAAUCUUAUCGAAAGGUAAUAAAUUUUGGUAGGUUUGUUCUUAAAGCGUGUACGUUGAUUCUCCUUUUUACGGAAGUGAAUUCGGAUUAAUACUCAGUGAGUUAUAUGCAGUUUGGUGAGACGCGUUUUCUCUAUUGCGAACUGGGAUCAGCGGUUAACGGUUAGUUUAUGUUUUAGGGCUUCGUUUCUGCGGCUGUAGUUUUUUUGCUGUUUUUGUCCUUUUGGUUCUUAGAGAUUUUUGUUUGUGUGGUUUGUUGUAGGGCGUUGUUUGGAUGUUGCAGUCGCGAGGAGAGUCUUUCCUGGUUGUUUUUGUAGUUCAAAUCACCUUGUUAAGGUGAGUGCGUGACCAUGAGCUUAUCUAAGCGAUUGGAUUGAGUGAUUUAUUGUUUGAUGAUUUGUAGGUAACUAGAUGUGUUAUUGGAUGUUUAGCUUGCUGGAUGGUUUGUUUUUGUCAUAUAUGUGGGUGUUAUCUCAUUGCUUAUGUGUAUAGCUCGUAGAUGGGAGGAUCACCCUCAUUAAGUAUUUAUGAAAUAAUCUCUUUCUUUGAUGUAGGUAAAAGUAAAGUGUGAUCCGUGGAAUCAUGGCGAGGAGAGGAGGAUGAUCUAGGCACUCAUUGGUGUUUUAGAUUAUUGUUGGAUUUGUUAGGGUGUUAGAAUGGAAUUUAGAAACAUGUUAGGAUGACCAUGUUNNNNNNNNNNNNNNNNNNNNNNNNNNNNNNNNNNNNNNNNNNNNNNNNNNNNNNNNNNNNNNNNNNNNNNNNNNNNNNNNNNNNNNNNNNNNNNNNNNNNCUUUCAAUUUGGUAUCAGAGCAUUUACGGUUCUAGGACGAGAUUUAAUUGGUAAAAAUUGUGAUGUGAUGUGUGAAUUUCAUUGAUGAGGAAUGAUGAUGUGGAUUGCAUGCUGAUUGAGUGUGUGUUUAAUCAAUUGUGUGAGCAUGGAGACCUAGAUCAUCCUCUCGAGCCUUCAGUGAGAUUCCAGGGUAAGUUGUGUCGUUUGGUGAUUUGUUUGGUGUUCUUAGCCUUCUGUUGUGUUGCAGAUGGUUAGAGGUGGAGCUGUCGGUCGUGGUCGUGGUCGUGGGCGUGGUCGUGGUAGGGGGCGUGGUGUUGCCUCGGGUAGCGACACGAGUGUGGGCCGGAAUGCUACGGCCGAUUUUGUUAGUGAGUCCUAGUCGCAUUAGGACGGGCCCGUGGGUGGUGAGAGUGUGAGUGCCGUGGGAGCCGGUUCGUCCGGAAACGGUACUAGUGUUGUUGGAAACCCAGUUAGGGGUGUUCCAACAGGUGCAGCCCAGGGUCAGAAUGAGCGGCUUGCGGAUUUACUGACGCAGCUCUUGGAGCGGUUACCAGGUGUGGUACCGCCGGUGCUGGCUCAUGUUGGGCCUGAGUUGCAGGCUCCUGUCAGGCCUGAGGUGCAGGCUCCUCUUGGGCCUGGUGUGCAUCCUGUUGGGCUUGGUGUGCAGCCUGUUGUUGGGGUUGUACCGCCUGAGGGGGUAGGUGCGGUGGUCGAGCAGCCAUACUACCUGCGGAUGUUGGAGCAGCUGCAACGGUUCGGAUGUCCUUGUUCUUCGGAGGUUCCGACCUGGCUGUAGCGGAUGAGUGGCGGGUGCGAUUGGAGCGGUAUUUCCAGUCGAUAAGGUGCCCAGAGGCGUAUUGGGUGGACCUAGCGGCCCACUACUUGACGGGUGAUGCACAUUUGUGGUGGCGGAGUGUGCUGGCCAAGAGGGGGCAGGGAUUGGCGGUGUGGGGAGAUUUCUUGUCAGAGUUUAAUGCCAAGUAUUUUCCGGCGGAGGUACAUGACCGGAUGGAGUCGCAGUUCCUGGCGUUGACUCAGGGCGAGCGGUCGGUGCGGGAGUACGACUUGGAGUUCAGCCGACUUUUGGUGUACUCGGGGCGUGCGGGAGAUCCUGAGCAGAUGCCGGUGCGUCGGUUCAUGAAGGGUCUCAGCCCUGAUAUGAGGGUGCGGUGCAAGGUGCGGGCCUAUGCGUCGCGUGUGGAGCUGGUUGAGGUGGCGGCGGGGAUCGAGGACGAGUUGAGGAGUCACAGGGUGAUUCCUAGUCCGUCGGCGCAACCGAAGAAGACCCAGCCGCAGUCGGUUCCGAGAAGAGGUGGUAAACCUGCUCAGGGACAGAAGAGGAAGUGGGAUGACACUUCUAGGGUGAGUCAGGGUGAUCGGAGGUGCUUCAGGUGUGGGAGCACGGAUCACAGGGUAGCGAGCUGUCCGAAGAAGGGCGAGCCGUGGGUGGAUACCCGUAUCAGUUAUCACUGCAGAGAGACGGGGCACAUCAAGACGAGGUGUCCUAAGUUGCAGCAGAUGACGGUAGCAGCGGUGCAGCCGGUGAUGCAGCCAGUGGUGCACCAGUGGGUGCCGCCAGGAUUGCAGCUGGGAGCACCGCCGGUGGCACAGAUCGAGGGAUCGAGGGGGUAUACGACCAUGGAGACAGGAGAGCCAAGCACUGGACGACCGAUCACAGGUUUAAUUCUAUGACUCAUUUAAAUCUAUGACUCAUUCUGUUUCCUUCCGUUGUUUUAGAAUUUUUGUUGUUUUCCUAUGAUGUUGGGGUGGGCAGUCUUAGUGAUUUUGUUGGUGGGCGGAUUCUUGUCCCACUUGAUGUUUGAUUCUGGAGCUAGGAAUAGCUUCAUUACCCCAGAGUGCGCGACGGGUGGUAACAUCCGAAGAGAUCCCGAUGGUUGUUAUGGAGCCGUUAGAGUCGCAGGAGGCGCUUUGCUAGCGGUUCAGGGGCGGGCUAGUGGUGUGGAUGUACAGAUUGCGUGAGAGUCAAUGCCGGGAGAUCUGUACAUUAGUCCGGUGGAGUUGUAUGAUGUAAUUCUGGGCAUGGAUUGGUUGGAGCGGCGCAGAGUUCAUCUGGAUUGUCACCGGGGGAGAGUAUACUUCGAACGUCCCGGACCGAAGAUGUAUUUCCAGGGUGUGAGACCGAUUUCGGAGAGUUUAGUGAUUUCAGCGAUUCAGGCGGAUAAGAUGAUCCGAAAGGGACGGGAAGCUUAUUUGGCUACGAUUGUCAUGCCAGAGACAGUCGAUGAGGUAGCAGUGGAUAAGAUCCGGGUGGUCCAGGAGUUCGAGGAUGUGUUUCAGACGUUAAAGGGGUUACCACCAUCUCGGUCUGAUCCCUUCACGAUUGAGUUGGAGCCCGGGACAACGCCGUUGUCUAAGGCUCCAUACCGGAUGGCUCCAGCAGAGAUGGCUGAGCUGAAGAAACAGUUGGAGGAUCUGCUGGGUAAGGGUUUCAUCCGUCCUAGUGUUUCACCGUGGGGAGCACCAGUGUUGUUCGUUAAGAAGAAGGAUGGGAGUUUCCGGCUGUGUAUCGAUUAUCGGGGACUUAACCGAGUCACGGUGAAGAAUAAUUAUCCUUUGCCGCGGAUUGACGAGUUGUUGGACCAGUUGAGGGGAGCUACGUGGUUUUCUAAGAUUGAUUUGGCGUCGGGUUACCAUCAGAUUCCUAUCGACGAGGCGGAUAUCCGUAAAACGGCGUUCAAGACGAGGUAUGGGCAUUAUGAGUUCGUGGUGAUGCCUUUCGGGUUGACUAAUGCACCAGCGGCGUUCAUGAGGCUGAUGAACAGCGUGUUCCAGGCGUUUGUAGAUGAGUUUGUUAUCAUCUUCAUUGAUGAUAUCCUGGUGUAUUCUAAGAGUCCUGAGGAGCACGAGGUACACUUGCGGGCAGUGUUGGAGAAGCUGCGGGAGCAGAAGCUGUAUGCUAAGCUGAGCAAGUGCAGUUUCUGGCAGAGAAAGAUAGGUUUUCUGGGUCAUAUUGUGUCUGCAGAGGGAGUUUCUGUGGAUCCAGAGAAGAUUGAGGCUAUCAGAGAUUGGCCUAGACCGCAGAAUGCCACAGAGAUACAGAGUUUUCUAGGAUUGGCGGGUUACUACAAACGGUUUGUGAAGGGCUUUGCCAGUACACUCAGCCAAUGACCAAGCUGACGGGGAAGGAUGUUCCUUUUGUGUGGACUCCUGAGUGUGAGCAGGGUUUCGCUCAACUCAAGGAGAUGUUGACGAGUACGCCAGUUUUGGCUUUACCGGAGCAGGGAGAGCAGUAUGUGGUGUACACGGACGCUUCGGGAGUUGGAUUGAGUUGUGUGUUGAUGCAGCAGGGUAAGGUGAUCGCCUAUGCUUCGCGGUAGUUGCGGAAGCAUGAGGGCAACUACUCUACUCAUGAUUUGGAGAUGGCAGCGGUGGUCUUUGCUCUGAAGAUUUGGAGAUCUUAUCUGUAUAGAGCGAAGGUUCAUGUGUUUACAGAUCAUAAGAGUCUGAAGUAUAUAUUCACGCAGCCUGAGUUGAACUUGAGGCAGAGGCGCUGGAUGGAGUUGGUUGCAGACUAUGAUUUGGAGAUAGCUUACCAUCCCGGUAAGGCUAAUCUGGUUGUAGAUGCUCUGAGCCGAAAGCGAGCGGCUUCAGCUCGAGGGCAGGGUAUGGAGACCUUGGUGGGAGAACUUAGCACCUUGCGGUUAUGUGCUAUUUCUCAGGAGCCACUAGGGUUAGAAGCUGCUAACCGAGCAGACCUUCUGACCAGAGUUCGAGCAGCUCAGGAGAAGGAUGCAGGGCUGGUUAAUGCUUCUAAGGAUACUGAGUCAGAGUAUCAGGUUGCAGCCAAUGGGACUAUCCUUGUGCAUGGGCGAGUUUGUGUGCCCAAGGAUGAGGAGUUGAGACGAGAGAUCUUGAGUGAGGAUCAUGCGAGUAGGUUCUCUAUUCAUCCAGGAGCGACCAAGAUGUACCGAGAUCUGAAGCGGUAUUAUCAUUGGGUCGGGAUGAAGAGGGACGUAGCUAAAUGGGUCUCUGAGUGCGAUGUAUGUCAGCUAGUGAAGGCUGAGCAUCAGGUGCCGAGUGGAUUAUUGCGAAGUCUCCCUAUUCCGGAGUGGAAAUGGGACAUGAUCACGAUGGAUUUCGUGGUAGGGUUGCCAAUGUCUCGGUUCAAGGAUGCCAUUUGGGUCAUUGUGGACCGUUUGACUAAGUCUGCACAUUUCUUGGCUAUCAAGAAAACCGAUGGAGCGGCAGUGCUAGCUAAGAAGUAUGUGCAGGAGAUUGUGAGACUUCAUGGAGUAGCGGCCAGUAUUGUGUCAGACCGGGAUUCGAAGUUCACUUCGGCGUUCUAGAAGGCUUUCCAGAAGGAGAUGGGUACUAAGGUGCAUUUAAGCACGGCUUACCACCCUUAGACGGACGGGCAGUCUGAGCGGACCAUCAGACACUUGAGGAUUUGUUGAGGAUGUGUGUGUUAGACUGGGGUGGUCAGUGGGCAGAUCACUUGAGCUUGGUUGAGUUUGCUUAUAAUAAUAGCUACCAGGCGAGUAUUGGGAUGGCUCCUUAUGAGACGUUGUAUGGGAGGCCAUGUCGGACACCUCUAUGCUGGACUCAAGUGGGGAGAGGAGCAUUUAUGGUGCGGAUUUUGUUCAGGAGACUUCAGAGAAGAUUCGGGUUCUGAAGCUGAACAUAAGAGAGGCGCAGGAUCGGCAAAAGUGUUAUGCUGAUAAGAGCCGUAAGGAGUUGGAGUUUGAGGUUGGAGAUAUGGUGUAUCUCAAGAUGGCGAUGUUGCGUGGUCCUAACAGGUCCCUUACCGAGACUAAGCUGAGUCCGAGGUUUAUGGGUCCUUUCAGGAUUGUGGAGCGGGUUGGACCAGUGGCUUAUCGGUUGGAGUUACCUGAGGUAAUGCAUGCAUUUCAUAAGGUAUUCCACGGGUCGAUGCUGAGGAAGUGUCUUCACAAGGAUGAUGAGGUGUUGGCUACGAUCCCGGCAGAUCUUCAGCCUAGUAUGACCUUGGAGGCGAGGCCAGUGAGGGUUCUCGAGAGGCGGGUAAAGGAACUUCGACGUAAAAAGAUUCCUUUGAUGAGAGUCCAGUGGGACUGUGAUGGAGUCUUGGAGGAGACUUGGGAGCUAGUGGCCAGGAUGAAGGCAAGAUUCCGGAAGUGGUUUGACAAGCAAGUCGAGCAGUAGACCGUUGGCUUGUUUUGUUUUGAGUUUUGAUUUGGUUGUAUCUCUUUUGUAUUUUCAUUUUUGGUGUAAUGAUUAUGACAUUGGAGAUUAAUAAGAUGAGUCUUUCUUGGAUUUGACUUGUUGUGUUAUGUGUAAGAGAAAUAUGUGCGAGUUUCUAAAAAUAGAAAGUGUCGGGUUUGACAGUUCUAUUUUUGGAAAGUCUCGGGGUGGUGGUUAGUAUAGCAUUGCGAUGCUAUAAGUGAACCACACGUGAGGUAUAUCAGAUCGAGAGUAGAGUCGGUUUAAUUCCGGUUGAUUUCCUAAACUGGUCGAUUUGUUUAAUUGAAUCAAAGAAGGUUUAAUUAAAGUCGGUUUAGGUAAAUUCUGGUUUAAUAAGAAUUAAACCAAAAACCCUAGUUUAAUAAAGAACGCUUCUUCUCUCUUUUGUUUUGUGGCUGUUGUUUCUAAGAGUUGAGUUGAGAAAAAGAGAAGGAGAAGUUUACUUGUGAGAAGGAGAGUGUUAGCUUUGCUUUGGUGUUUAAGGCGAGAGAAGCAGAUUCGUCACAUCUUGGUAAAAUAGAGUUCCGACGUAUCAAAUCUUAUCGAAAGGUAAUGAAUUUUGGUAAGUUUGUUCUUAAGGCGUGUACGUUGAUUCUCCUUUUUACGGAAGUGAAUUCGGAUUAAUACUCAGUGAGUUAUAUGCAGUUUGGUGAGACGCGUUUUCUAUGUUGCGAACUGGGAUCAGCGGAGUUUGUAAGUACGAUCGUAGUUUCAUCGUUUCUCCGAUCGGCACCAAAUUUUGUGGGGGGCUUUGUGACGUCUGGAUCUUGCUUUUCACCGUAGGGAUUAAGAAGUUAACGGUUAGUUUAUGCUUUAGGGCUUCGUUUCUGCGGUUGUAGUUUUUUUGCUGUUUCUGUCUUUUUGGUUUUUAGAGAUUUUUGUUUGUGUGGUUUGUUGUAGGGCGUUGUUUGGAUGUUGCAGUCGCGAGGAGAGUCUUUCCUGGUUGUUUUUGUAGUUCAAAUCACCUUGUUAAGGUGAGUGCGUGACCAUGAGCUUAUCUAAGCGAUUGGAUUGAGUGAUUUGUUGUGUGAUGAUUUGUAGGUAACUGGAUGUGUUAUUGGAUGUUUAGCUUGCUGGAUGGUUUGUUUUUGUCAUAUAUGUGGGUGUUAUCUCAUUGCUUGUGUAUAUAGCUCGUAGAUGGGAGGAUCGCCCUCACUAAGUAUUUAUGAAAUACUUACGCAUCUCUUUCUUUGAUGUAGGUAAAAGCAAAGUGUGAUCCGUGAAAUCAUGGCGAGGAGAGGAGGAUGAUCUAGGCACUCAUUGGUGUUUUAGAUUAUUGUUGGAUUUGUUAGGGUGUUAGAAUGGAAUUUAGAAACAUGUUAGGAUGACCAUGU
RNAcentral lists this long non-coding RNA (7415 nucleotides) under Capsella rubella. Its description in RNAcentral is "long non-coding RNA (CRUB_LNC000436)". Lineage: Eukaryota; Viridiplantae; Streptophyta; Magnoliopsida; Brassicales; Brassicaceae. The record is from RNAcentral.